GGGUAACCUGCCCAAGAGAUCGGGAUAACACCUGGAAACAGAUGCUAAUACCGGAUAACAACAGAUGAUGCCUAUCAACUGUUUAAAAGAUGGUUCUGCUAUCACUCUUGGAUGGACCUGCGGUGCAUUAGCUAGUUGGUAGGGUAACGGCCUACCAAGGCGAUGAUGCAUAGCCGAGUUGAGAGACUGAUCGGCCACAUCGGGACUGAGACACGGCCCAAACUCCUACGGGAGGCAGCAGUU
RNAcentral lists this ribosomal RNA (243 nucleotides) under uncultured Lactobacillus sp. RNAcentral's name for it is "partial 16S ribosomal RNA". It matches the Rfam family "Bacterial small subunit ribosomal RNA", at positions 119 to 355 of the family's 1533-position model. Lineage: Bacteria; Bacillati; Bacillota; Bacilli; Lactobacillales; Lactobacillaceae. The record is from RNAcentral.